RNAcentral lists this ribosomal RNA (532 nucleotides) under uncultured bacterium. Its description in RNAcentral is "bacterial SSU rRNA". It matches the Rfam family "Bacterial small subunit ribosomal RNA", at positions 8 to 524 of the family's 1533-position model. The record is from RNAcentral.
AGAGUUUGAUCCUGGCUCAGGAUGAACGCUGGCUGUGUGCCUAAUACAUGCAUGUUGAACGAAGCUAAAAGUGCUUGCACUUUAAGACUUAGUAGCGAAUGGGUGAGUAACACGUACUUAACCUACCCCCAAGUUUGGGAUAACGUUUGGAAACGAACGCUAUUACCGAAUACGUAUUUUUAUCGCAUGAUAGAAAUAUAAAAGGAGCUUCGGCUUCGCUAGGGGAUGGGAGUGCGCUACAUUAGUUAGUUGGUAGGGUAAUGGCCUACCAAGACUAUGAUGUAUAGCGGGGCCGAGAGGCUGAUCCGCCACACUGGGACUGAGAUACGGCCCAGACUCCUACGGGAGGCAGCAGUAGGGAAUUUUCCACAAUGAACGAAAGUUUGAUGGAGCGACACAGCGUGCAGGAUGAAGGUCUUCGGAUCGUAAACUGCUGUUAUAAGGGAAGAAAAACUUUAGUAGGUAAUGACUAGAACUUGACGGUACCUUAUCAGAAAGCGACGGCUAACUAUGUGCCAGCAGCCGCGGUAAU